AUCAUUAAAAAGAAAAACAGAGCUUAAGAAUACAAUGAAUAAACUGGGCUGAGUGUUCACACUCAUGUGUAAGAUGUGCCUCCCUCAAAUUUUGUCAUGAAAUAAGCACAUUGCCCAUCUGAUA
RNAcentral lists this non-coding RNA (124 nucleotides) under Nomascus leucogenys (northern white-cheeked gibbon). Its description in RNAcentral is "Small nucleolar RNA U13". The stretch from base 50 to 124 matches the Rfam family "Small nucleolar RNA U13", at positions 30 to 104 of the family's 104-position model. Lineage: Eukaryota; Metazoa; Chordata; Mammalia; Primates; Hylobatidae. The record is from Rfam by way of RNAcentral.